AUCCAGAUGGUGAGUCCCAAAUAGGACGAAAAGCGCGUUAUCCUGGAU
This is a non-coding RNA of Trichobilharzia regenti, 48 nucleotides long. The record is from Rfam. NCBI's taxonomy places the organism in Eukaryota, Metazoa, Platyhelminthes, Trematoda, Strigeidida, Schistosomatidae.